CCAACCAAGCUGAGCGGAUACCUCCUCCUCCUCUCACCCAACCCCGACGCUGUCUCCUCUCCCGAUUCCGCCGCCGCCGCCAGCGACGACGACUCCUCUCCUCCAACACCGCCGCCGCUGAAGACACCCUCCUCCUCUCCCCACGCACGCAAGUCGCCGCCACCGACCUCCUCCUCUCCCCGAACACGCGCGCAGCCUACCCCUCCUCCCGCCGGCCGUGGCCCCAACGCCGCCUCCGGUGCCCUCCUCCUUGCAAUCGCACACGAGCCGAUCCGAUCCGAUCUGAUCCGAUCCGGUCCGGCUCCCUGCUCCCACCGCCACCGCAGCCUUCUCCUCCAAGCUCCUCAGCGCUCGGAACCCUAGACGGCGGCCAUAGCGACCGAGGGUGCAGCACAGGAAUCCGCACCAUCCACUACAGGAGUUCGGGGGGGAUCUGGUGAGGAUGACAACCAAAGGUCACCACCAUCUCUUGCCAAGACGUGACCUUGCUUCAAUCUCCCUCCCGCCCUGCCAUGAUUCGAUUGUUUUCCUCCUCAGCAUAGGCACAGAAAAAUCAGUGCUAGAGAUUAUAAUUUCUUCAUGUAUAAUACACCAUGUUUUUAGCACAACUCAUGCUGCAGGCGUCGGGUGCAGCGCAGGAUCCGCACACCCUCUCCUACAGGAGUUCGAGGGCAAGGAGAAGCUGCUCCAACUGGUGAGGUCACCACAAUCUGUUGCUAAGAGACCACAGCGAUUGGAUUGAUUGAUGGGGACUCUUCUUCCCUGCCACGAUUCGUCUUCCUCCCCUGCAUACGCACAGGUACCAACACCUAGUAGAGGUUUGAGAUGCGGGUGCACAAGGGGGUCAUCGACCUCGUCAGCUCCCUGGAUGUUGUCCAGGAGAUCACUAUCGAGAUGUUGAGGUGACUAUCAGCGACCAGUAGUGGUCAUGAAGGGAGUCAAGGACCCGCAGCUGUCGGUUGUGGGCCCCGUUAGGAUGCCCACCAAGGUGCUCAACAUCACGACAAGGAAGUCCCCAGCUGUGCGUAAGGUGUUGCCAACUGCUGUUGACAACCAGACGCAAGUGGGUAUCCUUGUUGGAACUUGGAAGGUGUGGUUGAGAUGGCAAUGGAUAGCAAGCUCCUGGGCGAGUCUGACCUCGUAGGCAUCCCGCCAGCACCAAGGGGCAUGCCACAUAAUGAGGUGGCCACUGCCGCCUAAGACCAAGUCCACCUCCACAAUGGUGUGUUGUGAGAGGUGCGGCCUCUGGUUUCUCUGCCAUGUUCGCAUCGCUCCCACCUGAAUCGACAGUUUGUUGAGAGCAUAGAUGAAGAAAUAAAAACCUGGAAGUCAUGGUUGUUACAGGCUGGGGAACUUUGAUAUGCAUAAGGCCCAUGUGGAGUCGGUUGUCAAGCUAAAGGCACUCGACACCGAGACCAUCUAGCAGUUCGUACAUGUCGUGAUGAUCUGAGCUCCCAUGAGCUCCCAUGACUGCCUCAUUAGCUACAACUACUAAGGGUACAGUUGAUGCCUCCGGGAAUUCUGGUUACCUUGGUCCAUCUCAGCUAGUUUGACAAAAAAGGACUAUCUGGAGUAAUGCAAACAUUACACACAUGUACCUCGGCUUCCCGCAGCAUGAUGAGAAUGGUUUACCCGCAUCUAUGGCGGAGGUGGCCACAUCAUCCUCGGUUUGCACUGUUGUUGGGGUACCUUCCUGGACCACAGAGUUGUCUGGCACAAGUUUAGUCGGCAAAGCUCUGCAUGCUCGGGUGCUCACUCUAACGUCUAAUACCCUGCCAUUCCGUUUGCUUCAGCCAUUGGCAAGAAGACUCGCAUCAACAUUGUCGUCAUUUGGCAUCUCGACUCUGGCAAGUUGACCACCACUAGCCAUCUUAUGUACAAGCUUGGAGGUAUUGACAAGCGUGUGAUCGAGAGGUUGGAUUGGGAAGGUGCUGAGAUGAACAAGAUAUCAUUCAACUACACGUGGGUGCUUGGCAAGAUGAAGGUUGAGCGAGAGAGGGGUAUCACCAUUGAUAUUGGCUUGUUGCCCUGUGGAAGUUUGAGACAAGAAAGUACUAUCGCGUGUUGCACUAGUGCAGAACCGGGCAAUAGCACCGGUUCGUAAGGCCCUUUAGUGCCGGUUCCAUAACCGGCACUAAAGUGUGGGCACUAAAGCCC
Molecule: long non-coding RNA, 2157 nt
Organism: Triticum aestivum (bread wheat)
Lineage: Eukaryota; Viridiplantae; Streptophyta; Magnoliopsida; Poales; Poaceae
Exons: 11
Source: RefSeq, a predicted model, not a curated record